UGGGGAAUAUUGGGCAAUGGGGGAAACCCUGACCCAGCAACGCCGCGUGAAGGAAGAAGGCCUUCGGGUUGUAAACUUUUGUCCUGCGGGACGAAACAAAUGACGGUACCGCAGGAGGAAGCUCCGGCUAACUACGUGCCAGCAGCCGCGGUAAUACGUAGGGAGCGAGCGUUGUCCGGAAUUACUGGGCGUAAAGGGUGCGUAGGUGGUCGUGUAAGUCAGAUGUGAAAGACCGGGGCUUAACUCCGGGAUUGCAUUUGAAACUGUGCGACUUGAGUGCAGGAGAGGGAAGCGGAAUUCCUAGUGUAGCGGUGAAAUGCGUUGAUAUUAGGAGGAACACCGGUGGCGAAGGCGGCUUUCUGGACUGCAACUGACACUGAGGCACGAAAGCGUGGGGAGCAAACAGG
Molecule: ribosomal RNA, 407 nt
Filed under: uncultured bacterium
Lineage: Bacteria
Description: bacterial SSU rRNA
Rfam family: Bacterial small subunit ribosomal RNA
Source: RNAcentral